Molecule: RNA transcript, 5286 nt
Organism: Apis dorsata (giant honeybee)
Lineage: Eukaryota; Metazoa; Arthropoda; Insecta; Hymenoptera; Apidae
Gene: Cdk12
Gene name: cyclin-dependent kinase 12
Exons: 12
Source: RefSeq, a predicted model, not a curated record
UUUUAUCUACUUCAUAUUUAGUCGCAAGGGUGCAGCACUUAUCGCUUGUUACGUCAGACAAUAAUGACGUGCUAAUGGUUAAUGGCUUCUACUUACUUGAGCUACCUUUAUGAGAAAGCCAAAUACAAUCCAAAGAAAAUUCAUGAGAUAUGAUGCAUCGGCUAGUAAAACUAUAAAAAUAUGAUUGCCUGAACAUUUAAUUGUUACGAUAGCUAUUAAUCUUUAUCAAAUUUUACUCGUGGCCUACGAAAUAUGUGUUAAAACUGUUUACUGAGCAACGAACGUAACCAUUACAUCCAUCGCUACGUUGGAUCAGCUCGAUGCGAAGAAACUCAACAUUUAGCGUGAUAUCACAAGAUUUAUAUUGCACUAGGUGACAUGCCUAGCGGCCGUGAUAUUGAAAGAGCUGAACGUAAUGGAAGAUUUCGAUCACGUAGAAGAGGAAGUACUAGCAGUGAUAUAAAUCGACAUGGUUUUGAAGCAUCUGAUAAAAAACAUAGAAGGCAUGGAAAAAACAAAAGUUCUGGAAAAAAGAAGAAGAAGAGAUCAAGAGAUAAAUCCAUAGAAAAUGUGCCAACUGUUGCUUCUUCUAUUGUUAAACCUUUGGUUGAAUAUUCAGAUGUGAGUAGUGAAGAUUUAUCUGAACCAGAAGCUGGUGAAAUUCAGUCAGAAGAUAGUAGAGGUAAUAGCUAUACAGAUGGAGAAGUACCUGAACCAGUUUUACAAAGACGUUAUUAUGGAGGAAGCCCAGUACGUGCUCUUGGAGCAUCUCCUAUUAGUCUUUCACCAUCUCCACCAGUUCAACAUAGGCAUUCUAACAGACAUUAUUCACCAAAUGAGCAACAACCUUCAACAAUGCAUGGUGGAACACCUGAAUAUGAAGAAGAGUCUAGACGAUAUGCAAGAAGAAAAGAAAAAAAGCAUAAACGAGAAAAGAAAAAAAAGAGAAGCAUCAGUCCUUCAUCUAGUUCUGGAAAAAAGAAAAAACGAAAGUCUAAAAGACAUUCUCGUAGUUUAAGUCCACAUCGUAUUACAGAUGAAAUUAUUAUAAGUCCAGAACAUGAAAAACCAGUUGGAAAUUGGUCAGAAUCACCACCUUUACCAUUAAAAGACAGUACUUCACCAAUAUCCCCUGCCACACCUCAAGAACAAAGGUGUUUAAGUGAUGUAGAACUUGAAAUAACAAGACAACCUCGAAAUGUAACUCCUCCACCACUUCCUCCAAGACCAACUGAAUCUCCCCAUACUCCUUUAUUACCUCCAAGAACAACAACACCAGAAAACAAUAAAGCAAGUUUGUCCACAAUGAAACAUACUCCUGAAAGACAGAAACAUAGUCCUAGUAUUCAUACACGACGUAGUAGUAUUAGUCCAGGGCCCACUAUUAGCUCAAGUCGUAGGAGACCUCAUAGUCCAAGCCCACCAUCACGUCGAAGGGACCAUAGUUUAACGAGAAGAAGAGAUUUCAGUCCAAGUCCAAUGGUGCAUAGACUCAGGCACAGUCCUAGUCCUUCUACAAGACGGAGAGAAUUUAGUCCGAGUCCUGUAAGUCAUCGUCGUAGAGAUCCUGUUAGUUCUCCGUCUUCGAGUAAACGUAGACGACGAGAAGAAUCUGAACGACGACAUAGACAUCAUGAAAAAGAUAGAAGAGAUAAAAGAAAAUCGAGAUCAACUAGAAGUCCUACUGGAAGCAGAUUGCAUUUACCUCUUUCUCGUUCACGUUCGCGAAGUCCCGGACGAUGGCGAAAAGUACAAUCACGAUCUAGAUCACGUUCACGAAGAAGAAGUCGUACUCCGAAAAAAUCUCGUUCUCCUAGCAAAUCACAUAAAUCAGCAAGAAAACACAAAUCAAAGAGUCCACGUCCUUCGAGAAUACCUUCUCCUUCUCCUCAUAGAUCCAGAGCAAGAAGUCCUUCAAGUAUUACAGCAAGAAAUCUUAGAGUACAAGCAAAGAUUAGUGAAACUAGUUUGUUUGCUGAACUUGUAAAAGAUAGAAAUAUGAGAGAAUUAGCAUAUAAAAAAUUACAAGCAGCUAAGGAAAAAGCUGUUACUCAAGAUGAAGUUCAAAUUAUAGAAGGCACUGACGAGAAAGAUGCUAGUAAUGCAUCUUCCGAAAAUAAACCUUCCACUGACAAUAAAGACAAAUAUAUAAAUCAUAAAGAACAAUUAAAGACAACAAGUGAAAAUAUGAAACCUGUUGAUCUUGUAGAUAUUCCUGUUCCAAUGUCGGAUGAUAAUGGAAUAGCAGGAAAAACUCCACCAUUACCAAUUACACAAACCGUUAAUGCACCAAGUGUAAUACAUGGAGCUAAUCAACAUCCUCCAAUGAUUGUAUAUACUUCGCCUACAACUACAAAUGUUUGUCCAGUGACUGUUACAAGCAGUCCAAGUUUUCCAGCUGUUACAAAUUUGCAAGCACCACCAUUACCACAAUCUGAGUCUGCAAAUGCAGCAGGUUUAGUAUCUAUGCCAGUGCCUAUUCCUGUACCAGUACCUGUUCUGCCUAAUUUAUCUGUUCCACCACCACCUAUACCUAUACCAGUUCCAGCACCAAAUACAGCCAUGUCUAAAUUUAAUCCUCCUAACAAUUUAGUUCCUCUUAAAUCAGUAGAUCCUCCUAAACCUCCUAUUGUGGCAUUUAAAACUAAAAGUUUAUCACGAUUACCAUUACCACCUGGAAUUAAUCAAAAUGAUUUAGAAAGUAUAGACUCGCCACCAAGUCGAUCUCCAAGUCCUCCUAGUAAGGCACAAAUGAAAUUCCCAGCUUCAACUCCAAAACCACCACAGAAGAAGAGUAUUAAAGACUUACCUAUGCCACCAGUUGUUCCUGGAUCGGAAGAUUUAAGUGGAGAAGAUGAUCCAAAUGCAACACCACCUCGUACAAAAGUUGAACAUGUUCCACCAAAACCGAAAUUAAAAAGACCAAAAAUUUUAAAGCGUAGAGGUUCUAGAAAUUGUCAUACUCCUAUGUCAACUUCGAGCGGUAAAGAUUGGGGAGAACGUUCUGUUGAUGUAUUUGAAUUCAUAACUCAAAUAGGAGAGGGUACUUAUGGACAAGUUUAUAAAGCUCGAGACAAACGAGCUGGUGUACUUGUUGCAUUGAAGAAAGUUCGUCUAGAAAACGAAAAAGAGGGAUUCCCUGUUACAGCAGUACGAGAAAUUAAAAUCUUACGUCAACUUAAUCAUAAAAAUAUUGUGAACUUGAGAGAAAUAGUUACGGAUAAACAAGAUGUAUUGGAUUUUAGAAAGGACAAAGGCUCAUUCUAUCUUGUAUUUGAAUACAUGGAUCAUGAUUUAAUGGGUCUUUUAGAAUCUGGAAUGGUCGAUUUUAAUGAAAUGAACAAUGCAAGCAUUAUGAAACAGUUAUUAGAUGGAUUAAAUUACUGCCACAGUAAAAACUUUUUACACAGAGACAUCAAAUGUUCUAAUAUACUGAUGAAUAACAAAGGGGAAGUUAAAUUAGCCGACUUUGGACUUGCGAGGCUUUAUAAUGCUGAAGAUAGACAGCGACCUUAUACAAAUAAAGUGAUUACUUUAUGGUAUAGACCACCUGAAUUAUUGUUGGGUGAAGAACGUUAUGGUCCUGCAAUAGAUGUAUGGAGUUGUGGUUGUAUUCUAGGAGAAUUAUUUUCUAAAAAACCAUUAUUUCAUGCAAAUGUAGAAAUGAUGCAAUUGGAGAUGAUUUCCAGAGUUUGUGGAACUCCAACUCCUGCUGUUUGGCCUUCUGUGAUAAAACUGCCAUUGUGGCGUACCUUGAAACCAAAAAAAUCACAUAGAAGACGUUUACGAGAAGAUUUUUCAUUUAUGCCAGCACCAGCUCUGGAUCUUUUAGAUAAAAUGUUGGAAUUAGAUCCAGAAAAACGAAUAACUGCUGCUGAUGCGCUUAAAAGUGCUUGGCUGAAAAAUGUUCAACCCGAGCAAAUGCCUGCGCCUCAACUUCCAACUUGGCAAGACUGUCAUGAGCUUUGGAGUAAGAAACGAAGACAUCAGUUACGAGAUCAACAAGAAAGCUCCGCUGGAAAGAUGCCUCUUCUUCCGCUUCCAAAUAAAGGAGGUCCCCAUAAGGCUAUUGAAGAUCUAUCUGAUGUCGGGGGAUCUUCCAAACGUUUAAAAAUGGAAGCAGGUUACAAUUCUCAUCCAAAUCGUCUCAGUACGGAAUCCCACUAUGGAGGAGAUAAUUUGUUCAACCAAAGCAGACCUUAUAUGGUCUCAUCACCAUCAUAUUAUUACACUAGUCCUCCACCUGUUACACCACGACCCAAGGGAGAUACUAGACCUUAUAUGGUCUCAUCACCAUCAUAUUUUUAUGUUAGUCCACCACCUGUUACACCACGGCCCAAGGGAGAUACUAGUUCUCAUAUGUCAGAAUUAUACACGGAAGAUAGUCUUGUUCGAAAAUUAAGUUUACUCACAAACGCAUUAAAUCAAGGAAAACCAAUUCGUGUUGAAGAUCUUAUGUCGCUUCGAUCAGAUAAUGAGAGUGAUCCAAAAGUAGUACAAUUAUUAGGAGAACUACAUGCUGAACUACGACUUGCUGCAAAUUCAAGAUCAAGUGGACUAAUAGAAUCUCAACUUUCUGUAUUAAAUCCACCACUUUUAGAUACAAAUGCAGCACAAUCAGGAAACUUUGAUGCACAUGCAGUUUAUGCUGGUGAUGAUGCAAUGAGUUCUGGAAGAUGGUCACAAGUGGCAACAGCUGGUGUUCGCAGUGCAUUAUUAGCGCUCAUGUCGCGCUAUGGUUUGGAAACUUGCAAUCCUUCCCCUGUUAUCACCCGACCCCCAGGUAAACCAAUAUCCAACCUAACACAAAACCUUUCCCUACCCUCAACUUCCUCUCAAUCAGCAUUUAGCUCAUAAUGAUUUGUAUAUAUAACUCUUUACAGCGUUCUAAACUAUGUUCUGUAUAAAGUUGGAAAAGGUCUAAAUUGCUAUUUUUUAAAUUAACUAGGCAUGGAAGUACAACUGCAUCCAAGUUGUUUAUAGACUACUCUCUGUUCAUAACUAUUGAAGUGAUUCCAAGAAAAACACUGCGAAAAUGAGGUUAGGAAGUGUGCUUCUAUACCGGCAAGCUGUAUACAAUAUGUGACCAUAUCAUGGCGAUUUGUGCUGCGAUUUAAAAAGAAACUAUCGACACGCUGUAGAUUAUUCAGUGAAGUGAUCAGCAGUAUGACAUUGUGGGAAUGAAUAAUAAAUUAUUUGUUUUGUUGAAUUUAUUCGAUUCUAUACUCGGUGUGAUAAUAAUAUACGUAAUAAAAAAAAAAAAAACAACGAAUUAAUUAACAAAAA